CCUACGGGGAGCUGCAGUGGGGGAUAUUGCACAAUGGGGGAAACCCUGAUGCAGCGACGCCGCGUGGGUGAAGAAGUAUUUCGGUAUGUAAAGCCCUAUCAGCAGGGAAGAAAGAAGACGGUACCUGACUAAGAAGCACCGGCUAACUACGUGCCAGCAGCCGCGGUAAUACGUAGGGGGCGAGCGUUAUCCGGAUUCACUGGGUGUAAAGGGAGCGUAGACGGCCGUGCAAGCCAGGAGUGAAAGCCCGGGGCCCAACCCCGGGACUGCUCUUGGAACUGUGCGGCUGGAGUGCGGGAGGGGCAGGCGGAAUUCCUGGUGUAGCGGUGAAAUGCGUAGAUAUCAGGAGGAACACCGGCGGCGAAGGCGGCCUGCUGGACCGCGACUGACGUGGAGGCUCGAAAGCGUGGGGAGCGAACAGGAUUAGAUACCCCUGUAGUC
This 441-nucleotide ribosomal RNA is filed under the name uncultured bacterium. Its description in RNAcentral is "partial 16S ribosomal RNA". It matches the Rfam family "Bacterial small subunit ribosomal RNA", at positions 338 to 795 of the family's 1533-position model. The record is from RNAcentral.